GACGAACGCUGGCGGCGCGCCUAACACAUGCGAGUCGAACGAGCGAGCGAGAGCUUGCUUUCUUGAGCGAGUGGCGAACGGGUGAGUAACGCGUGAGGAACCUGCCUCAAAGAGGGGGACAACAGUUGGAAACGACUGCUAAUACCGCAUAAGCCCACGACCCGGCAUCGGGUUGAGGGAAAAGGAGCAAUCCGCUUUGAGAUGGCCUCGCGUCCGAUUAGCUAGUUGGUGAGGUAACGGCCCACCAAGGCGACGAUCGGUAGCCGGACUGAGAGGUUGAACGGCCACAUUGGGACUGAGACACGGCCCAGACUCCUACGGGAGGCAGCAGUGGGGAAUAUUGCACAAUGGGGGAAACCCUGAUGCAGCGACGCCGCGUGGAGGAAGAAGGUCUUCGGAUUGUAAACUCCUGUUGUUGAGGAAGAUAAUGACGGUACUCAACAAGGAAGUGACGGCUAACUACGUG
RNAcentral lists this ribosomal RNA (466 nucleotides) under uncultured bacterium. Its description in RNAcentral is "partial 16S ribosomal RNA". It matches the Rfam family "Bacterial small subunit ribosomal RNA", at positions 28 to 507 of the family's 1533-position model. The record is from RNAcentral.